UACAGAGGGUGCUAGCGUUGUUCGGAAUCAUUGGGCGUAAAGCGCGCGUAGGCGGCCCGGUAAGUCCGUUGUGAAAGUCAAAGGCUCAACCUUUGAAAGCCGAUGGAUACUGCCGGGCUAGAGUCCGGAAGAGGCGAGUGGAAUUCCCGGUGUAGCGGUGAAAUGCGCAGAUAUCGGGAGGAACACCAAUGGCGAAGGCAGCUCGCUGGGACGUUACUGACGCUGAGACGCGAAAGCGUGGGGAGCAAACAGG
This 253-nucleotide ribosomal RNA is filed under the name uncultured bacterium. RNAcentral's name for it is "partial 16S ribosomal RNA". It matches the Rfam family "Bacterial small subunit ribosomal RNA", at positions 524 to 776 of the family's 1533-position model. The record is from RNAcentral.